GAUGAAGAACGCAGCGAAAUGCGAUAAGUAAUGUGAAUUGCAGAAUUCAGUGAAUCAUCGAAUCUUUGAACGCAUCUUGCGCUCCUUGGUAUUCUGAGGAGCAUGCCUGUUUGAGUGUCAUUAAAUUCUCAACUACACUGACUUUGAAUUGGUGUGGCUUGGAUUUGGGGGGAAAAUUGUUGUGGUCUUUUUGUAUAGUCUGCUCCCCUGAAAUUGAUUAGCGGUACCUUUGUGGAACUGUCUACAGGUGUGAUAAUUAUCUACAUCUUAGACAUCUGCUGGAAUGCUGCUUUCUAAACCUUACUUGUAUUGACAAUCUUGACCUCAAAUCAGGUAGGACUACCCGCUGAACUUAAGCAUAUCAAUAAGCGGAGGA
Molecule: unclassified non-coding RNA, 376 nt
Filed under: soil metagenome
Description: partial contains 5.8S ribosomal RNA, internal transcribed spacer 2, and large subunit ribosomal RNA
Rfam family: 5.8S ribosomal RNA (bases 1-120)
Source: RNAcentral